CGAACGCUGGCGGCGUGCCUAAUACAUGCACGUAGAACGCUGAAGAGAGGAGCUUACUCUUCUUGGAUGAGUUGCGAACGGGUGAGUAACGCGUAGGUAACCUGCCUUGUAGCGGGGGAUAACUAUUGGAAACGAUAGCUAAUACCGCAUAACAAUGGAUGACACAUGUCAUUUAUUUGAAAGGGGCAAUUGCUCCACUACAAGAUGGACCUGCGUUGUAUUAGCUAGUAGGUGAGGUAAUGGCUCACCUAGGCGACGAUACAUAGCCGACCUGAGAGGGUGAUCGGCCACACUGGGACUGAGACACGGCCCAGACUCCUACGGGAGGCAGCAGUAGGGAAUCUUCGGCAAUGGGGGCAACCCUGACCGAGCAACGCCGCGUGAGUGAAGAAGGUUUUCGGAUCGUAAAGCUCUGUUGUAAGUCAAGAACGGGUGUGAGAGUGGAAAGUUCACACUGUGACGGUAGCUUACCAGAAAGGGACGGCUAACUACGUG
Molecule: ribosomal RNA, 495 nt
Filed under: uncultured bacterium
Lineage: Bacteria
Description: partial 16S ribosomal RNA
Rfam family: Bacterial small subunit ribosomal RNA
Source: RNAcentral